CCCAGCUGGUGAUGGGGCAGCUCCUGGGUGACACUGAGUGCUGGCCAUGGGUGACAAGCACGCCUUUUGUUACAGACCUUUCCCUGGCACCAAGAAGUAGGAGGGCCGUGCCAGUCUCUCUGAUAAGCAAAUUUAUAGCUCCAAGUGGGUGCAGAGUCAAGAGUCAGCAGUGGCUUAGGAAAAAACUGUGCCUGGCCCCUCUCUUCCUAUGGAAGUGGAGCAAACCAGGAGUUAAGAUUGCGUGAUGCUUGCGAAACAGCGCAGAGACAACUCUGGUUUGGGAGGGUGCUGGGGAAAUUCUUGCUGAAAUCAACCCACAGCUGGCUGCUUCCCUCCUGUGCUGGCUUGUGCCGAGUGAUUGCUUCCCAUUUUCCUCAGAUCCAGAUUUGCAGAUGGGCAUGGACACCUCCCCACAGCCCGAGACGAAGCGAUGCAAGGAGACCAUUGUGUCUGAGACUGCACACAUCCCAUCUCACACAAACAGUAAUGGGCUUUGUGAUUACUCCUGCUGCUGCCACAGCACCAUCCUGCUCGCCAUGUCAGUCAGCACCUUCCCCAGGGAACAUUCCAGUUUCCCAGGAGGUUGUGGAGCUUUGAUCGCAUGCCACGGCAGUGGGAUGGAGCACACAACCAUCCCUAAGCCCUUCCUACGCUGACACUGAGCAAGGUGACCCUGAAACUGGCUGGCAAGGGACAGGCAGGGUGCCCUGCAUGGUGCCUCACAUGCCUGAAAGGAGAGGGGAGAGGUUUUCCCUGUCCUUGGAGCAAGUGGGGUCGGUAGCAACAUCCUUCCUUUGGAGCCAUGAUGGAAGAGGGAGUUAAUUCACCCCUUACACCAAGUGCUAAAGUGUUUGUUCUGGCAGCCAGUGCCAGGCAGCAGGAAUACACUUUUGACAGAGAGAUAUUAGGUAAAAUUCAGUGGUGACCCAAGGAGGUGUAAUUAGCUCUGCUGUCACAGAGGAAAGGACAUGUUUGUACAGAUUAUUUCCAAUUUCUAGCAACACCUGCUCACUUGCUUUAACCAGGUUUCUCAAAAUCAGGACUAAUUAGCACUUCCUUGGAAGCCCAGCUCUCUCCAGGCAAUGGCUUUACCUUUCAAUUGGUACUCCUUCUGCAGGAAGGCACAUUACUGUAUCAGGAAAAGCUAAUGGCAGCAGGAAACCAUUUUCAUGGCUAAAGCUAAUUCAAGGAGAAGGCAGAGCUCACCAGAUCUGGACUUUCUUGCUGAUGCCAGGCAUGAGGGCUGUGCAGUGAGUUUCCUUCUCUGCAUCCUUGAAAGAGAACAGGAGCAGGUAGAGCAGGAAAAGGACUGGCAGCCUGAGCCAGUGGGGCAGCUCCUGCAUAUCUGUGCUUGUUGUCAUGUCCCUUGGAGACAGAUGUGUGACCUUCCAGACAACAGAAAUCCCUAUUCCCCAGCCAACCUAGCUGAGCUUCACACAUAAUUUAACAUGUCUUAUAAUAUUUUAUAGACUCCACUCUGUAACUCCACAUUGAGCUAUUAUUUAAUGAAAUUAUCCCCAGUAGGGACCUUAGGAGAACUAAUUGUACAUAAAAGCUUUGGUGGUAGAGUAGUGGGAAACAUCCACAAAUGCUUUAAAUACCAAAUUUUUCAUCUCUUAAUAUUUAUUAAUUUAUAGCCUCUAUUCUGGUUGCAGUUCUGCAGAUACACUUCAGCAUGGUGUUGAUUAAAUCUGGUGCCUGUGCAAGCCAGUAUCAGACUCAGGCCCAGAGAAGUAGUAUUUUAACUGUUCUAGGACCAUUUAUCAGUGCAUCCAAGAAUUUGGAUACUCUUCCAGGCAGUUUUGCUUGGGGUUUCCAUAUGGAUCUCAGUCCACAUCCACAGCAGCAGGAGCUUGAACAAUGGGUUGGGCAGCACUGAGAGGAACCCCUUUAGGAGAAAAGAACAUCUAUUUAUUGUUUUUUCCUGUUUAUUCUUCUCAACACUGAAUUUGCAAAAUAAAUACGAUCCAUGGGGUUUUGAUCCCCACUUGAAUGCUUUGCAAAAACAUGACGCCUUAUUUUAUUAUUAUGUUAUUUUUUAUAUUCUUUAUUGGUUUGUUAUAUCCAAUAUCUCACCAGACCUGUCAGCUUACAGCAGACUCCUGGGAACUCUGGUGUGUUGAAACAACUUCCAAAGGAUGACACAGAGUCGCCCAUGGUGACUUGCAGUGGGGAUGGGGGAAUGAGAUGGAGCAAGUCUCACCCUCAGGGGCCUGGAGAACAAAGGAACUUGAGAGGCACCUGAGUGCUGUUGGUGGUAUGAAGUGCAAGAGGACAUAAGAGCUCUGGUUCUUGUGCCCCAAAGGUCUUUUUAGCAUGCCAAUUGCCAUGAAUGAGGACAGCUUCUGGUACAGGCUGAUGAGUAACAUUUUUCCUACUGCUGCUGAAGCCACUGGAAAAAUCUGGUUGAUCCAGGAUGUCACGUCAGAACCUAAUUCCCAUUCCUGCAAACACCCAUACACUCAUGUUCAGUGCUUAAUAAAAGGUAAGCUCCAGUCAAUGGGAAAAUGUGCUUAAGAGCUUUACUCCGUUUCUUAAGCACUCUGCUGGGUCUGGCCUCAUGCAAUGUGUCAAGCACUCAUUACCCUUAUCUUUUAUUAUUUUAGUACAAAUAGUUGUGUGGGAAUAACCUCUCAUCACAAAGGUGGGAUUUUUAGGAGGGGAGGCCACCCUGUGCGUGUGCAUGCGACGUGUUUGGGUGAUGUUCUGGCUUUGUGCUCCGAGGAAAUAAAGGGGAGGAAACAUGAUUGUCUUGGAGCAGGUACACAGCUUUGAGAUGCCCGGCUUGGAAGAAAUUGCAGAAAGUGUUUCCCUUUGUAUUGCAGGGCCUGGCAGCCUGGUGAGAUAAUAGGAGAUAAAGCAAAUUGUACGACAAUGGAAAAUGCUGAGCUCCCUGAGUAAUUAAAGGUUGUGUAAGACGGUCGCAUGGCUUGAAAGGAUUAUUAAUGCAGUCACGUUUGCAUUAUAUAAAGGGUAAUUAAAAUGCAGCCUGCUUACCAUUGAUUACACCCUUUGCCUGGCACGGGUAGCAGUGGCUGCACAACCAGGCAGCAAAGGUGGCUUGGGAAGCAGUGGCUGCCAGCAAAAGGAGAGGCUGUGGGGUGCAGGAUGCCCAAAACUUUGGGACCACUGCUGUGCCAUAGCUUUGGACAAAUCUCCAGCAGAUUGUGUCCUCUGCCUUCACACAGGCAGGAGGGUCCCUUCUCAUCCCACCAUGCCACAGUCACUUAAGCUUCCCUAGAAGAGCUCACAUGGGCAGCAGUGGGUAACCUGGGUAUCUCAAUAGAUAUCUAGGCUAGUCAUGGAUUAUAGAUUGGUGCACCUGAAGAAAUUUUGCCAGGGUAGCCUGAGGAA
Passer domesticus (house sparrow) is the source of this 3354-nucleotide long non-coding RNA. RefSeq lists it as uncharacterized. The record is from RefSeq and is a predicted model, not a curated record. The transcript has 3 exons. Lineage: Eukaryota; Metazoa; Chordata; Aves; Passeriformes; Passeridae.